AACAAAUGUUCCAUUUUUCCACCUUCGCCGCAUCAAGCAUCAAGUCCAUUACCUUUCCCGCCCCGACCUGGCCACAGUGAUUCAUGCGACGGCCACCUCUAGGCUUGACUACUGUAAUUCGCUCUACGCGGGGCUGCCCUUGAAGCUGUUCCAGAAACUCCAGCGGUUGCAGAAUGCUUCAGUGGGGCUCCUCACGGGGUCUCUGCCAUGGGAGCAUAUUCACCCAGUGCUUUUCCUUUUCCUUUUUUUUAAUAAUAUUUUUAUUCACUUUCCAAUACAAAAUUAUACAGUCCAUACAUCUUAGUUACAUCCCAUUUCUCCUUAUUGACUUCCCUCAACCCAUCUGAUAUUCCUUCGUUUCCUUACUUUCUCCACAUUUCUAAAGUUAUAGUUACAUUACUAUUAUUUAAUUUACCUUAUUUUUAAUAUUAUUCCAACAUUUCUUUUCACAGAGCUUCAUUAAAACUUACAAACAUUAUCUGAUUAUCACUUAUUUUUUGUAUAUACUCUGUAAAUUUCUUCCAGUCUUCUGUAAAUCUCUGAUCUUGUCGAUUUCGGAUCCUUCCUGUCAGUCUAUCGAGUUCUGCAUAGUCCAUCAUUUUCAUUCUCCAUUCUUCUUUCGUAGGUAGCUCCUCUUGUUUCCAUUUCUGGGCCAGCAAUAUUCUUGCUGCAUAUAAAAAUAACUUCUUUUCUUUCUUAUUUAUCUCGUUACCUAUAAUUCCUAGCAAAAACGCUUCUGGUUUCUUAACAAAUGUAUAUUUCAACAUUUUCUUCAAUUCAUUAUAUAUCAUUUCCCAAAAGGUUUUAACUUUCUUACACUUCCACCACAUAUGAUAAACCGUCCCUUCCUUUUCUUUACAUUUCCAACAUUUAUUGCUUGUCUUAUACAUCUUCGCUAAUUUCACAGGUGUUAUAUACCAUCAAUACAUCAUUUUCAUCACAUUUUCUUUUAUUGCUGUACAUGCAGUAAAUCUUAAUCCUUCUUUCCAUAAUUUCCCCCAAUCUUCCAUUAGUAUAUUAUAUCCAAAAUCUUUGGCCCAGUCAAUCAUAACCGAUUUCACCUCUUCAUCCUUUGUACACCGUUCUAAUAGUAUCUUAUACAUUCUUGCCAAGACUUUAAUAUCAUUGUUCAAUAUUUCUCUCUGGAAUUUUGAUUCUUUAUCAGCAAAACCUCUUUGUAUCAAAUCUUUUUUAAACAUUUCAUUGAUUUGAAAAUAAUGCAGCCAAUCAUUAACAUAUUCCUUAACUUCUUCAAAUGGUCUCAUUUUCCAUUUACCUUCUACUUUCAUUAUUAACUUCUCAUAUGUCACCCAUCCCCCCUUCAUAUUGAUUUCCUUCACACUCAUCGCCUCCAAUGGCGAUAGCCAACAUGGAGUUUUUAACUCCAACAAAUUUUUAUACCUCUCCCAAACUUCAAUAAGAGCCCUUCGUAUGAUGUGGUUUUCAAAACCUUUAUGUACACGCUUUUUGUCAUACCACAAAUAUGCAUGCCACCCAAAUCUGUUAUCAAAACCUUCCAAGUCUAACAAUUCUGUAUUUUCUAAUUUCAUCCAUUCCUUCAACCAACAGAGGCACGAUGCUUCAUAAUAUAAUUUCAAGUCUGGCAGGGCGAAGCCUCCUCUUUCUUUCACAUCUGUCAAUAACUUAAACUUUAUUCUCGGCUUCUUACCCUGCCAGAUAUACCUUGAAAUUUCUCUUUGCCAAUUUUUAAAAAUUGUUGCCCCUUUGAUUACUGGAAUUGUUUGAAACAAGAAUAACAAUUUCGGUAGCACAUUCAUCUUUAUUGUUGCGAUUCUUCCGCAAAAUGACAAUUUCAUUCUUCCCCACACCUACAGGUCUCUUUUAAUCUUAUUCCAAGUUGGAGUAUAAUUAUUCUGAAAUAGAUCAAUACUCUUGGGGGUUAGCCAUACUCCUAAGUAUUUAACUUUCUUGACCACUUCUAUCUCUAUUUGUUGCUGCAUUUUAUCAAUUAUCUCCUGGUCCAUGUUUUUGGUAAUUAUUUUGGUUUUUUUCUUAUUUAGAUUGAAUCCCGCCACUUGACCAAAUGGAUCUAUUUCUUUCAAAACUUCUGUUACAGUAUUUAUGGGAUUCUCCACAGUUUUACUAAGUCAUCAGCAAAGACUUUAACUUUAUAUUCUUUACAGCCCACUGUUACACCUUUUAUUUGAUCAUUACUUCUUAUUGCCCUUAAAAAGACUUCCAGGACCGUGAUAAAUAACAACGGUGAAAGGGGACAUCCUUGUCUUGUACCUUUAGUUAUUAUUUUAUUUUCUGUUGUCACAUUGUUAACUAUUAAUUUUGCUCUUUGAUCCAUAUAUAUUGCCUUAAUACCAUUUAAAAACAUUUGUCCCAUAUCCAUCAUUUCAAAUUUUUUUAACAUAAAUUCCCAAGAAAUAUUGUCAAAGGCCUUUUCCGCAUCCACAAAUAUUAGCAUUGUUUGUUUAUCAUUCCUGGCAGUCAAAUAUUCCAUAACAUUAAUUAUGUUUCUUAUAUUAUCUUUCAUUUGUCUGCCUGGAAGAAAACCUGCUUGAUCCUUAUGUAUUAAUUCCUUCAAAACCAUUUUCAUCCUAUUUGCUAAUAUACUUGUAAACAAUUUGUAAUCAUUAUUCAAAAGCGAAAUCGGCCUAUAAUUUUUAACUUGAGAAAGAUCAGAAUCUUGUUUAGGUAUCAAAGUAAUAUAUGCUUCUUUCCAAGUUUCUGGUAUUUCCCUAUUUGUUAAUAUAUUAUUCAUUACUUCUUUCAAAGGUACAAGUAGAAUGUCCUUCAUUUCUUUAUAAAAUCUUGCACUAAAUCCAUCCGGUCCUGGUGUCUUUCCACUUUUUAGCUCUUUAAUUGCAUUUUUUAUUUCUUCUAUUUCAAUCAUCUCAUUUAAUUUGCUUUUUUCCUUCGUCGGAAUUUUCUGCAUCCCUUUCUCUUUUAAAUAGUCUUCUAUUUUUUAAUAUUCCCUUUUUCUUUUCUUUUAUAUAAUUGUCUAUAAAAGUCCACAAAUCUUUUUCUAAUUCCUUUUGGAUCAUCAAUCUCUUUAUCUUCUACAAUUAUUUUUUGUAUAGUAUUUUGCUCUUUCCUUUUUUUAAUCUGCCAAGCUAGUAGUUUUCCCGAUUUAUUUGCAAACUCAAAGUUCCUUUGUCUCAUUCUUUUAAUAUUCCACUCUACUUCUUUAUUUAUUAUCAUAGAAAAUUGUGAUUGUAGUGCUUUGAUAUUCAAUUUCAAUUUUUUAUCUUCGGGUCUGGCAAUAAGUUUCUUCUCAUUCUCCAUUAUUUGUUUUAAGAUUUCUUUUUCCCCUUUUUCUCUAAAUUUAUUUUUGAUUGUAUUCUGUUGAAUAAAGAAACCUCUCAUUACUGCUUUGCCGGCAUCCCAAACUGUACUCAUUUUUGUUCCUUGAUUCAUAUUAUUUAUGAAGUAGUCCUUCAGAUAUUUUUGUGCAUCUUCUACAACUUUCUGAUCAUCAAAGAGAUUUUCAUUUAUUCUCCACCGGAAAGAUUUUUCCUCAAAUCCUUUUAAUAUACAUUUUAUAGCAUUAUGGUCCGAAAGUACCUUAGGUUGGAUUUCUAUCUUUGAAAUUCUUGGUGUGAGUUCAUUGGUUAUCCAUAUUUGAUAAAUUCUGGACAUUGAUAGAUUUGCCUCUGAAUGGUAGGUAAACUGUUUUUCUAAUGGGUGUCUCAAUCUCCAAAUAUCAAUUAAGUUGCAGUUCUCAACCAUUGAAAAAAAAGUUUUUGGUAAUUUUCCUUCUUUUGUUUCCCCUGUUGCUCUUAAUCUAUCCAUUUCCAUUGACACAACUGCAUUCAUAUCACCCAUUAUUAUGAUCCUUUGGUCCAAAUAUUCAAAUAGUCUUUCCUCCAAAUCCUUAAAAAAGUCCAUUUUAUUUUCAUUAGGUGCAUAAACUCCGACAAUUAUUAUUUUUUCGCCUUGCCAUUUGACUUGUACUGCCACAAUUCUGCCUUCUUCAUCUUUAAAAAUUUGUUGAGCCUCUGAUUUAUUUGUGAUAUAUAUAAUACCAUCCCUCUCUUCUUGCUUUUAUCCGAUGAGAUAAAUUCAUUUCCUAACUUUUUAUUCAUUAAAAAUACAGCUUAAACAGGAGCUUCAAAAGCCAUUACGCAGUUCUUUUAAAAUCGAAAGUAAACCACAGUCCAAAGAUCCUUUCUCGGCAUUUCAACCAUCGACAAAACAAAGGAAGAAUUAUAUCCUCUAUCCCCUCAGUCCUCUUUCUCCUCAAUGUCUUACUCCUUGUAAAAAGUCAAUUUAAAAAUAAAUAAAUAAAUAAAUAAUCCACAAAAGAGAUAGAUCCAAUUGCCGAAACAGUCCCCGUUUGUUUUUACUCACUGUUCCGUUCCGCUCUGAGAGUAGUCCUUGUGUAUUCUUAGGAAUUCAGACAAGGUUGACCUCCUGUUUGUCCCUUGUCUGUGUCGAAUUAGAUCCAAAUAGUUAUAAUUUAGUCUUUUUUAAAGUUUCCAAUCAGAUUUCUUUUUUUCCGGAAAGCCGAUCGCUCCAGUGUACAAGCUUGGGGCUUCGCUCCAAGAGGCUAGCAAUGGCAUCCCGCUACCAGUCUUUCUACCCCGCCGCUCUCGUCUCCUCUAAAAGGAGGAUACCUGGCGGCCGGGGGAAUCGCUCAUCGGCAGUGCCGGGAUCCUGACCCCUGAAUCUCCUUUCAGUGGGGUUUGGGGGGGCUCCGAGGGAAAACCCGCUUGCUUCCACUUCGCGAUCAGACCGGAGGUCCCACCCAGUGCUUUUCCAGCUGUACUGGCUCCCGGUGGAGUACAUGGUCAGAUUUAAGGUGCUCGUUUUGACCAUUAAAGACCUUCACAGCUUAGGACUCACGUACCUACAGGACCGCCUCUCCCGGUAUGGCCCAUGGAGGACCUUAGGGUCCAUAAAUAGCAACACCCUAGAGGUCCUGGGCCCUAAGGAAGUUAGAUUAGGCUCAACCAGAGCCAGGGUCGUUUUUUCAACACUGGCUCCAGCCUGGUGGAACGCUCUGUCUCAUGAGACCAGGGCCCUGCAGGAUCUGAUUUCUUUCUGCAGGGCGUGUAAGACAGAGUUGUUCUGCCUGGCCUUUGGCUUUGAGUCAAUUUGAUUCCUUCCCCAUCUUUCUUUUUCCUUUCUCCUGUGAUGAGGCUGCAUUUUAACGUUUUAAUGUUGUAUUUUAAUCUUGUUUUUAAGUUGUAUUCCUUCAACUUGUUUUUAUUACUGCUUGUUAGCUGCCCUGAGCCCGGCCUUGGCUAGGGAGGGCAGGGUAUAAAUAAAAUAAUGUAUUA
Molecule: non-coding RNA, 5252 nt
Organism: Podarcis lilfordi (Lilford's wall lizard)
Lineage: Eukaryota; Metazoa; Chordata; Lepidosauria; Squamata; Lacertidae
Source: the annotation of a GenBank genome assembly